Molecule: unclassified non-coding RNA, 236 nt
Filed under: Tetracladium marchalianum
Lineage: Eukaryota; Fungi; Ascomycota; Leotiomycetes; Helotiales
Description: partial internal transcribed spacer region
Rfam family: Eukaryotic small subunit ribosomal RNA (bases 1-46)
Source: RNAcentral
AAGUCGUAACAAGGUUUCCGUAGGUGAACCUGCGGAAGGAUCAUUACCGAGUUCAUGCCCUCUCACGGGUAGAUCUCCCACCCUUUGUAUACUAUACCUUUGUUGCUUUGGCGGGCCGCCUAGCUACUGGCUUCGGCUGGUAAGUGCCCGCCAGAGGACCCAAAACCCUGAAUAUUAGUGUCGUCUGAGUAAAAUUUUAAUAUUUAAAACUUUCAACAACGGAUCUCUUGGCUCUG